RNAcentral lists this ribosomal RNA (463 nucleotides) under uncultured bacterium. RNAcentral describes it as "bacterial SSU rRNA". It matches the Rfam family "Bacterial small subunit ribosomal RNA", at positions 8 to 507 of the family's 1533-position model. The record is from RNAcentral.
AGAGUUUGAUCAUGGCUCAGAACGAACGCUGGCGGCAUGCCUAACACAUGCAAGUCGAACGGGAUCCGAGCUUCGGUUCGGUGAGAGUGGCGGACGGGUGAGUAACGCGUGGGAACCUGCCCAGUGGUGGGGGAUAACUGCGGGAAACUGCAGCUAAUACCGCAUGAGCCCGAGAGGGGAAAGAUUUAUCGCCAUUGGAGGGGCCCGCGUUCGAUUAGGUAGUUGGUGAGGUAACGGCUCACCAAGCCUUCGAUCGAUAGCUGGUCUGAGAGGAUGAUCAGCCACACUGGGACUGAGAUACGGCCCAGACUCCUACGGGAGGCAGCAGUGGGGAAUAUUGGACAAUGGGGGCAACCCUGAUCCAGCAAUGCCGCGUGAGUGAUGAAGGCCUUCGGGUUGUAAAGCUCUUUUGCCAGGGACGAUGAUGACGGUACCUGGAGAAUAAGCCCCGGCUAACUUCGUG